AUGACUCCUAACAGUACAAUUAUCACAGGCGCUUCAUAUGUUUCAUUUCAGGGGAAAUUAAUGGUAGGGUCACCACUAAACUUUGCACUUUAACUUCAUGCUACUCAUGUCCCAGAUCACCAAGGGUGCUGGGCCCAGGAUUGAGAUAAGUCUGAGUCUGUCUGAAAGGUGGAGAUGCCAUGGUUCUAUUUUCACAAAGCCCAGAGGAAUCCCAUCAGAAGGAAGUCAUGACAAGGAAAAGAGUGGCAGAACUACCCAAAGCCUUCAGCAAUUCCAGGGUCGACUAGGUUCAGUUUCAAGGAAAGCCAAAGCGAGUGACUUGGACCUGAGGGAUAAGGAACAAAUGUGGGCACUGCAAGAACAAGUUCUUGGAACACCUGUGACGGGGUGGGCAGGGAGCAAGACCCAGAACUAUGGGAGGACCUUGAGAGGUUUGAUUCCUAUAGACCCUGUGGAGAUACACUUCUUUAUAUUCAUGUUUGUUACUUUGGUCUUACUCUCAGCAUACUGUCACCCCAAAACCAUGGACUGCUUUUAUAUCCCUCUAGUAAGAAUAGAAAGUAUCUAUUAUUAUUAUUAUAUAAUAAUAUCUAUUCAUUAUUAUAUCUAGUCACUUGUGAUGGAACAUGAUGGAGGAUAACGUGAGAAAAAGAAUGUGUAUAUAUAUAUAUGACUGGGUCACUGCUGUACAGCGGAAAUUGACAUAACAUUGUAAAUCAACUAUAAUAGAAAAAAUAAAAACCUUAAAAAAAAGAAAAGUACAUUUACUAGGAAAUCAAUUAUCCAAGAUGGAAAAAAAAAAUCCCUAAAUAGCAUUCAAUCUUCCAAAUAAAAAUUCUUCAUUCUUGGGUCAGACUGAUAAAUGAGAUGGCAUUUAGACCCAUUGAUUCGAUUCGUCCCUUUACGGAGCCAUCAGACACACGACGGAAAUGCUCUUUAGUGUCAUCCUGCUUUCUUAGUACUGUGUAGCUAGUCACCUUUCUAUCAUUUGUAUCCGAACAAUAUUUUAGAACAACCAAUAACAACUUCAAGAGGACAAUUUUGACACACUUCACAGCUCCUUCCUAUUACAUUAAUGCGUAAAUUGAAUUCCCUCUCAAGAUGGGGGAAAAAGUAAAAGGUUGGCUUCCCAAAAAUGUUUUCAUUGGCUUUAGGGAACUAAAAUGCACCAGUCUGGGUGACUAAUACUUCCUGGAAAAUAAAGAUAGAUCAACACAUAAUUAAGUUCUGGCUCAAAUAUAAUUGUUGUCUUGGAAACAGUUUUGGGGUAAAUAUGGUUAUGCUAAUGAAACUUUUCAUGAUUUCCACCAAUGAUCCAGUUUAUUAACUAGGCCAGACCAUCUUACUACCUUAUGCUACAAAUUUUGGAAUAUUCAAGGGGUUAAAAAAGUUCCUAAGAGAACUGUGACAAGGAGGGAAAGGGAUACAUCUUAAAUUCGUUAUUUAUCAGCUUUCAUAAGGCUUCCAGUUGGAGGAGUAGGUUAAGAGUGCUUUUUGGCGUAUUUGUGGCUUUCAAACAUCCUUCCUACUUCAUUAAACAGAAAACUAUAUAUACCGCGUUUUGAAUUAAUAAUUCCUAGCGUUAUUUCUCUGAACUCCCUCUUCGGAGGAUUUAAAAUGAGACGAACUCAAGAGGAACACGCGACACCAAAGCCCUCAAGUAGCCAGUGUUUUCUAGUUCCAGCUUUCAGUAAAGAGUUUUGUAGGAAGUUUCUACUCACAGCGUAGCCCAAAGGGCAGCUUGCCUGCUCUGGAGGUUUUGGUCGAGGCCCAGUGUGAACUCCGGGCGCGAGAGCGCAUCCCGGCUCUGAGAUCACACCCACUCGGGGUGUGCGUGAGUGAGU
Molecule: long non-coding RNA, 1844 nt
Filed under: Sus scrofa (pig)
Lineage: Eukaryota; Metazoa; Chordata; Mammalia; Artiodactyla; Suidae
Description: lncRNA (ENSSSCG00000048747.2)
Source: RNAcentral